AGGAAGCACAGACAUUUAGAAGGUCCCCGUACAACUCAUGCAAGAAUUUUAUUAACAACAAUUUCUAUUCACAUUUAGUCCCACUUUCCCCAGACAGAGCUGGAUGAUGGGAGAUGGCUGAAGGUUGUGCCUCCCAGAGGGAAAAAGCAAAGUUCACUUCACUACCCACUGCCCCAGGUGUUGAGGCUGACCAUGACUGAUCCUUCUGAAGCUGCCAGGAGCCCAGAGGGAGCCACAGCCUGCAGGAGACACCCCAAACAAGGGACACA
Oenanthe melanoleuca is the source of this 269-nucleotide long non-coding RNA. RefSeq lists it as uncharacterized. The record is from RefSeq and is a predicted model, not a curated record. The transcript has 3 exons. NCBI's taxonomy places the organism in Eukaryota, Metazoa, Chordata, Aves, Passeriformes, Muscicapidae.